RNAcentral lists this long non-coding RNA (225 nucleotides) under Elaeis guineensis (African oil palm). Its description in RNAcentral is "long non-coding RNA (EGUI_LNC060103)". Lineage: Eukaryota; Viridiplantae; Streptophyta; Magnoliopsida; Arecales; Arecaceae. The record is from RNAcentral.
GAUGAACAAUUUUUGAUCAAUGAUCCAUUGAGCAUAUGAGAAAUUAGAUUUAAGUGCUAAUUAAUUUUAGAUUAGAUUUGAAUUAAUGAAACUUAAUUGGAUGUAAAAUAUCAAGUUAGACUUGGUACAAAAGUCUUAAAGAGCUUAGGAUUGACAGCCUUUUAAAAUUAUUUCGAACCAGCUUCGAAUUGGAUUCGAAUCAGAUCUGUUUUGGAUGAGAUAUUA